GGGAGUGGCAGCAGCACUUGGGGAAAGGAGCUGAGUGGAGACCAAAGUGAGCUGGCAGACAGUGGGUCUGUGAGAGACCGAAUAGAGGGGCCGAGUGCCAAUUGACAAGCAAUGGGGAAGAAACAGAAAAACAAGAGCGAAGACAGGGCCAAAGAUGACAUUGAUCUUGUUGCCUUGGCUGCAGAAAUGGAAGGAGCUGGUGCUGCCAAAGAACAAGAGCCUCAAAAGUCAAAAGGGAAAAAGAAAAAAGAGAAAAAAAGCAGGACUUUGAUGAAGAUGAUAUCCUGAAAGAACUAGAAGAAUUGUCUUUGGAAGCUCAAGGCAUCAAAGCUGACAGAGAAACUAUUGCAGUGAAGCCAACAGAAAACAAUGAAGAGGAGUUCACCUCAAAACAAGAUAAAAAAAAGAAAGGACAGAAGGGCAAAAAACAGAGUUUUGAUGAUAAUGAUAGUGAAGACUUGGAAGAUAAAGAUUCAAAAUUUAAAAAGACUGCAAAACCAAAAGUGGAAAUGUACUCUGGGAGUGAUGAUGAUGAUGAUUUUAAUAAACUUCCUAAAAAAGGGAGAGCUCAAAAAUCAAGAAGUGGGAUUGGUCUGAAGAGGAUGAGGAUAACAGUAACAAAAUUAAAGAGCGUUCAAGAGUAAAUUCUUCUGGUGAAAGUCUUGAUGAAUCAGAUGAAUUUUUGCAAUCUAGAAAAGGACAGGAAAAAAAAUCAAAAAAACAAGUCAGAUCCUAAUAUAGAAAGUGGGAAUGAAGAUGUUGAUGACUCCUUCAAAAUUAAGACAGUGGCCCAAAAGAAAGCAGAAAAGAAGGAGUGCGAGAGAAAAAAGCGAGAUGAAGAAAAAGCAAAACUGCGUAAGCUGAAAGAAAAAGAUGAAUUACAAACAGGUAAAAAGGAUCAGAGUAAACAAAAGGAAUCUCAGAGGAAAUCUGAAGAAAAAACUGUAAAAUCCAGAGUGACUCUUGAUACUGGAGUAAUCCCUGCCUCUGAAGAGAAAGCAGAGACUCCCACAGCUGCAGAAGAUGACAAUGAAGGUGACAAAAAGAAGAAAGAUAACAAGAAAAAGAAAGGAGAAAGAAGAAAAAAGGACCUGGCAAAGCCACUGUUAAAGCUAUGUAAGAAGCUCUGGCUAAGCUUAAAGAGGAAGAAGAAAGACAGAAGAGAGAAGAGGAAGAACGUAUAAAACGGCUUGAAGAAUUAGAAGCCAAGAGUAAAGAAGAGGAACGACUGGAACAAGAAAAAAGAGAAAGGAAAAAGCAAAAAGAAAAGAACACUUGAAAAAGGAAGGAAAACUUUAAAUCACAGAGAGAAGCCAGAGCUGAAGCUACCCUUAAACUCCUACAAGCUCAGGGUGUUGAAGUGCCAUCAAAAGACUCUUUGCCAAGGAAGAGGCCAGUUUAUGAAGAUAAAAAGAGGAAAAAAAUACCAUAGCAGCUAGAAAGUAAAGAAGUGUCUGAAUCAAUGGAAUUAUGUGCUGCUGUAGAAGUUAUGGACCAAGGAGUAUCAGAAAAGGAAGAAACACCACCUCCUGUUGAACCAGAAGAAGAAGAAGACACUGAGGAUGCUGGAUUGGAUGAUUGGGAAGCUAUGGCCAGUGAUGAAGAGACAGAAAAAGGAAAUAUAGUUCAUAUAGAAGUAAAGGAAAACCCUGAAGAGGAGGAGGAAGAAGAUGAAGAAAGUGAAGAAGAGGAGGGAGAAAGUGAAGGUGAUGAGGAAGAUGAAAAGAUGUCAGAUGAGAAGGAUUCAGGGAAGACAUUAGAUAAAAAGCCAAGUAAAGAAAUGAGCUCAGAUUCUGAAUAUGACUGAUGAUGAUCGGACUAAAGAACAGAGGGCUUAUGACAAAGCAAAACGGAGGAUUGAGAAAUGGUGACUUGAACUUAGUAAAAAUGUAAAUACCACAAAGCGGAGAGCCCCCAUUUUCUGUGUACUUGGGCAUGUGGACACAGGGAAGACAAAAAUUCUGGAUAAACUCUGUCACACACAUGUACAAGAUGGUGAAGCAGGUGGUAUCACACAACAAAUUGGGGCCACCAAUGUUCCUCUUGAAGCUAUUGAACAGACUAAGAUGAUUAAAAAUUUUGGUAGAGAGAAUGUAUGGAUUCCAGGAAUGCUGAUUAUUGAUACUCCUGGGCAUGAAUGUUUCAGUAAUCUGAGAAAUAGAGGAAGCUCUCUUUGUGACAUUGCCAUUUUAGUUGUUGAUAUUAUGCAUGGUUUGGAGCCCCAGACAAUUGAGUCCAUCAACCUUCUCAAAUCUAAAAAAUGUCCCUUCAUUGUUGCACUUAAUAAGAUUGAUAAGUUAUGUGAUUGGAAAAAGAGUCCCGACUCUGAUGUGGCUGCUAUUUUAAAGAAGCAGAAAAAAAAUACAAAAGAUGAAUUUGAGGAGUGAGCGAAGGCUAUUAUUGUAGAAUUUGCACAGCAGGAUUUAAAUGCUGCUUUGUUUUAUGAGAAUAAAGAUCCCUGCACUUUUGCGUCUUUGCUACCUACCUCUGCACAUACUGGUGAUGGCAUGGGAAGUCUGAUCUACCUUCUUGUGGAGUUAACUCAGACCAUGUUGAGCAAGAGACUUGCGCACUGUGAAGAGCUAAGAGCACAAGUGAUGGAGGUUAAAGCUCUCCCAGGAAUGGGCACCACUAUAGAUGUCAUCUUGAUCAAUGGGCAUUUGAAGGAAGGAGAUACAAUCAUUGUUCCUGGCAUAGAAGGGCCCGUUGUAACUCAGAUUCAAGGCCUCCUGUUACCUCCUCCUAUGAAGGAAUUAUGAGUGAAGAACCAGUAAGAAAAGCAUAAAGAAGUAGGAGCAGCUCAGGGGGUAAAGAUUCUUGGAAAAGACCUGGAGAAAACCUUGGUUUGUUUACCCCUCUUCAUGGCUUAUAAAGUAGAUGAAAUCCCUGUUCUUAAAGAUGAAUUGAUCCAUGAAUUAAAGCAGACACUAAAUGCUAUCAAGUUAGAAGAAAAAGGAGUCUAUGUCCAUGCAUCUACACUGGGUUCUUUGGAAGCUCUACUUGAAUUUCUGAAAACAUCAGAAGUGCCCUAAGCAGGAAUUAACAUUGGCCCAGUGCAUAAAAAUGUUAUGAAGGCUUCAGUGAUGUUGGAACAUGACCCUCAGUAUGCAGUAAUUUUGGCCUCCGAUGUGAGAAUUGAACGAGAUGCACAAGAAAUGGCUAAUAGUUUAGGAGUUAGAAUUUUUAGUGCAGAAAUUAUUUAUCACUUAUUUGAUGCCUUUACAAAAUAUAGACAAGACUACAAGAAACAGAAACAAGAAGAAUUUAAGCACAGAGCAGUACUUCCCUGCAAGAUGAAAAUAUUCCCUCAGUACAUUUUUAAUUCUCGAGAUCUGAUAGUGAUGGGGGUGACAGUGGAAGCAGGUCAGAUGAAAUGGGACACCCAUGUGCAUCCCAAGCAAAAAUUUUGUUGACAUCAGAAUAGUAACAAGUAUUGAAAUAAACCAUAAACAAGUGGAUGUUGCAAGAAAAGGACAAGAAGUCUGUGUAAAAAUAGAACCUAUCCCUGGUGAGUCGCCCAAAAUGUUUGGAAGACAUUUUGAAGCUACAGACAUUCUUGUCAGUAAGCUCAGCCGGCAGUCCAUUGAUGCACUCAAAGACUGGUUCAGAGAUGAAAUGCAGAAGAGUGACUGGCAGCUUAUUGUGGAGCUGAAGAAAGUAUUUGAAAUCAUCUGAUUUUUCCACAUGGAACAGGAACUGGAGUAAAUGCAAUACUGUGUUGUAAUAUCCCAACAAAACAAGACAAAAAAUGGAACAGAUUUAUCUGGACACUAAUGGACUUAAAUAUGGAAGGAAGAAAAAUAGGUGUAUAAGAUGUUUUCCGUGAGAAACCAAGAAACUUACACUGGUUUGACAGUGGUCAGUUACAUGUCCCCACAGUUCCAAUGUGCCUGUUCACUCACCCCUCCUUUCCCCAACCCUUCUCUACUUGCCUGCUGUUUUAAAGUUUGCCCUUCCCCAAAUUUGGGUUUUUAUUACGGAUCUAAAGCUCUUUCAAUUUUAUACUGAUUAAAUCAGUACUGCAGUAUUUGAUUAAA
Molecule: RNA transcript, 4037 nt
Organism: Sapajus apella (tufted capuchin)
Lineage: Eukaryota; Metazoa; Chordata; Mammalia; Primates; Cebidae
Gene name: eukaryotic translation initiation factor 5B-like
Exons: 2
Source: RefSeq, a predicted model, not a curated record